Molecule: long non-coding RNA, 318 nt
Filed under: Ricinus communis (castor bean)
Lineage: Eukaryota; Viridiplantae; Streptophyta; Magnoliopsida; Malpighiales; Euphorbiaceae
Description: long non-coding RNA (RCOM_LNC002964)
Source: RNAcentral
AUAAAUCUAACAUAUAAAAUGCUGAGUCGGUCUUUCUCUUCGAGUUUUCUUGUUCGUUCUUAUCCUCUGUUUCUCUGCUUCUUCUUUCCUUAGACAUAAAAACCAAGAACCGUUUCUCCUUAUUAUGGAAGCUUUCAUUCUCAUUAAUCAUUCUUUUCUUUCCUUCUACCGCUCUUAAAACAACCCCAUUAUUGCUCGUCCUACAGAAAACAUACCCUUCUUCUACUGUUUCUUGAUCAUUCGUAUAUGCUUUCUUGAUUCUUGAAUUCUUGUUCUUGAUCAAUAUGUUACCAAAGUCUCGAAUGGAGAGCUAAACNN